This 609-nucleotide ribosomal RNA is filed under the name Salmonella enterica subsp. enterica serovar Kentucky. RNAcentral describes it as "partial 23S ribosomal RNA". It matches the Rfam family "Bacterial large subunit ribosomal RNA", at positions 1 to 638 of the family's 2925-position model. The record is from RNAcentral. Lineage: Bacteria; Pseudomonadati; Pseudomonadota; Gammaproteobacteria; Enterobacterales; Enterobacteriaceae.
GGGUUGUGAGGUUAAGCGACUAAGCGUACACGGUGGAUGCCCUGGCAGUCAGAGGCGAUGAAGGGCGUGCUAAUCUGCGAUAAGCGCCGGUAAGGUGAUAUGAACCGUUAUAACCGGCGAUACCCGAAUGGGGAAACCCAGUGUGACUCGUCACACUAUCAUUAACUGAAUCCAUAGGUUAAUGAGGCGAACCGGGGGAACUGAAACAUCUAAGUACCCCGAGGAAAAGAAAUCAACCGAGAUUCCCCCAGUAGCGGCGAGCGAACGGGGAGGAGCCCAGAGCCUGAAUCAGCAUGUGUGUUAGUGGAAGCGUCUGGAAAGGCGCGCGAUACAGGGUGACAGCCCCGUACACAAAAGCGCAUGUGCUGUGAGCUCGAUGAGUAGGGCGGGACACGUGGUAUCCUGUCUGAAUAUGGGGGGACCAUCCUCCAAGGCUAAAUACUCCUGACUGACCGAUAGUGAACCAGUACCGUGAGGGAAAGGCGAAAAGAACCCCGGCGAGGGGAGUGAAAAAGAACCUGAAACCGUGUACGUACAAGCAGUGGGAGCACAGGUUUACCUGUGUGACUGCGUACCUUUUGUAUAAUGGGUCAGCGACUUAUAUUCUGU